CCUACGUGAGGCAGCAGUGGGGAAUAUUGGACAAUGGGCGAAAGCCUGAUCCAGCCAUGCCGCGUGUGUGAAGAAGGCCUUCGGGUUGUAAAGCACUUUCAGUGGGGAAGAAAGCCUUGGGGCUAAUACCCUCGAGGAAGGACAUCACCCACAGAAGAAGCACCGGCUAACUCCGUGCCAGCAGCCGCGGUAAUACGGAGGGUGCGAGCGUUAAUCGGAAUUACUGGGCGUAAAGCGCGCGUAGGCGGUCUGAUAAGCCGGUUGUGAAAGCCCCGGGCGCAACCUGGGAACGGCAUCCGGAACUGUCAGGCUAGAGUGCAGGAGAGGAAGGUAGAAUUCCCGGUGUAGCGGUGAAAUGCGUAGAGAUCGGGAGGAAUACCAGUGGCGAAGGCGGCCUUCUGGACUGACACUGACGCUGAGGUGCGAAAGCGUGGGUAGCAAACAGGAUUAGAUACCCGAGUAGUC
Molecule: ribosomal RNA, 465 nt
Filed under: Vreelandella stevensii
Lineage: Bacteria; Pseudomonadati; Pseudomonadota; Gammaproteobacteria; Oceanospirillales; Halomonadaceae
Description: partial 16S ribosomal RNA
Rfam family: Bacterial small subunit ribosomal RNA
Source: RNAcentral